This 193-nucleotide non-coding RNA is filed under the name Coprobacillus sp. RNAcentral's name for it is "T-box sequence". It matches the Rfam family "T-box leader". From Rfam's summary of the family: Uncharged tRNA acts as the effector for transcription antitermination of genes in the T-box leader family. Lineage: Bacteria; Bacillati; Bacillota; Erysipelotrichia; Erysipelotrichales; Coprobacillaceae. The record is from RNAcentral.
GUAAACGCGUUGAACAAGAGGAGUACGAAAUAUCUUUUGUUUAGAGACUCUAGGAUUGGUGAAACUAGAGAGAAGAUAUGAGGAAGGUCGCUUGGGAGCUUUGGCGAAAAGCCCGUAAACUUGCGUAAAAAGUAAAGUGUUUAGCUCAUGAGCUAAAAACAAAGGUGGUACCGCGCUUCUUAGCGUCCUUUGA